RNAcentral lists this ribosomal RNA (301 nucleotides) under uncultured bacterium. RNAcentral's name for it is "partial 16S ribosomal RNA". It matches the Rfam family "Bacterial small subunit ribosomal RNA", at positions 509 to 807 of the family's 1533-position model. The record is from RNAcentral.
CAGUAGCCGCGGGAAUACGGAGGGUGCAAGCGUUAAUCGGAAUUACUGGGCGUAAAGCGCACGCAGGCGGUUUGUUAAGUCAGAUGUGAAAUCCCCGAGCUUAACUUGGGAACUGCAUUUGAAACUGGCAAGCUAGAGUCUUGUAGAGGGGGGUAGAAUUCCAGGUGUAGCGGUGAAAUGCGUAGAGAUCUGGAGGAAUACCGGUGGCGAAGGCGGCCCCCUGGACAAAGACUGACGCUCAGGUGCGAAAGCGUGGGGAGCAAACAGGAUUAGAUACCCCGGUAGUCCCUGUCUCUUAUAC